RNAcentral lists this long non-coding RNA (1058 nucleotides) under Equus caballus (horse). RNAcentral's name for it is "lncRNA (ENSECAG00000058682.1)". The record is from RNAcentral. Lineage: Eukaryota; Metazoa; Chordata; Mammalia; Perissodactyla; Equidae.
AAGGUGGGAACCUGUCAAAGGAGAAGGUGAUUUCAAUCGAGUGAUUUCGGGCAAAGCAAGGGCACUUUGUGGAGAACUUCAGGCUGAGCCUACUCCUUGGCUCACUUUUUCCCAUUCUGCCUGCUUGGCUGUCAUUGCUUUAGCAUUUCCUGUGUGGCAAAUGCCCCAGGGCCCCCAGUGUCCAUCAGAUGUCCUCAGGAGUUCCCUUCAGGAAGUAGCAUUCCUAUGGGAGAGGCGUGAUGCUUUCCCCCCAUGACUCAUCACCUGCCAAGACUCUAUGAGUUCGGACGCUGCAAUUUACCUGCCUGAAAAUAUCACCAUUACUGGAAACUGCUGCUGACUCCACUCAUCAGAUCUAACUCCUUGGAUGAUGAUGAGUAGUGAACAGAAGGGACAACAAUCUUCAGCUGAGCCCAAGUGGUCACUCUUGCUAGUCUUCAAAUCUCAACCAGUUGCUGGUGAAAUGGCCUAAUUUACCUUCCCUAACCCCUUUCUCUGCCCUGUGUAAGGCUAAGGUUCUGGAAUGUUUUACCAUGGAAGCCAUCUACAGCAUCAGAGCCCAGAUGCUCUUGGGAUUGCUCAUGGCUGGAUCUGUCCUCAGGUGGGCAGCAGAGGCCCAUUUACCAUGAAGCUAUUGAAGCUUAAGUUUCAGGGCCCGGGACCUAAUGAGUCCUUUCAAAGUCCCUAAGAAAGCCUUCAGCAAUGUGUUCAUAUGACUGAACUUUUUUUUUUUUUAACAUUUACUAAAGUAAGACAUUUUAACCUCAAUUAACUAAGAUUGGCGUCUCUUUCCAUGUCUACUACUGCUCCAUCACACUUUCCUUUCAGAGGUUGGCUCUAGCAUGACUGCGACUGUCUUUGGAAUCUAGUUAAGGAGAAGUUAAGAUGGGAAUGUGCCAUACUAAAUAAAAUUUGGAAGGAUAUUUUGGAAAAUUUCAGUAAAGCAAAUGGAAACUACAGAUAAUUGAUUUGGCUUUAUAUUGUGUCUGUUUUAAAAUUUACAUAUUAAGUAAGUUUUUAAAAACUCAGAUUAAAAAUUAAUGAAGUAGGAAACAGAA